This 235-nucleotide long non-coding RNA is filed under the name Lathyrus oleraceus (garden pea). RNAcentral's name for it is "Pisum sativum (pea) long non-coding RNA (PSAT_LNC009619)". Lineage: Eukaryota; Viridiplantae; Streptophyta; Magnoliopsida; Fabales; Fabaceae. The record is from RNAcentral.
UUUGUGAUGAGAUUGAUGCUGCCUUGCAUGGUGACAGUGUAAAUGAAGUUGUUUAUGUAGCUGAAGCUCUUGACAUCCCGACUGCCCUAAAACAUACCAUCAAUUGAACAACCACCUUAUUUAGAGCCUAAACGACUUCCCGAGGAUUCAUAUUAUUCAUCAAAGCUUCAACUUAAGCAGAAACAUAAGAAGGGAAUUGGAUGGACCUUGACUGACACUCGUGAUAUUAACCCAU